Molecule: ribosomal RNA, 497 nt
Filed under: uncultured bacterium
Lineage: Bacteria
Description: partial 16S ribosomal RNA
Rfam family: Bacterial small subunit ribosomal RNA
Source: RNAcentral
GAUGAACGCUGGCGGCGUGCCUAAUACAUGCAAGUCGAGCGAACAGACGAGGAGCUUGCUCCUCUGACGUUAGCGGCGGACGGGUGAGUAACACGUGGAUAACCUACCUAUAAGACUGGGAUAACUUCGGGAAACCGGAGCUAAUACCGGAUAAUAUAUUGAACCGCAUGGUUCAAUAGUGAAAGACGGUUUUGCUGUCACUUAUAGAUGGAUCCGCGCCGCAUUAGCUAGUUGGUAAGGUAACGGCUUACCAAGGCAACGAUGCGUAGCCGACCUGAGAGGGUGGUCGGCCACACGGGAACUGAGACGCGGACCAGACUCCUACGGGAGGCAGCAGUAGGGAAUCUUCCGCAAUGGGCGAAAGCCUGACGGAGCAACGCCGCGUGAGUGAUGAAGGUCUUCGGAUCGUAAAACUCUGUUAUUAGGGAAGAACAAAUGUGUAAGUAACUAUGCACGUCUUGACGGUACCUAAUCAGAAAGCCACGGCUAACUACGUG